GGUACAGGAAGCAGCUUGCUGCUUCGCUGACGAGUGGCGGACGGGUGAGUAAUGUCUGGGAAACUGCCUGAUGGAGGGGGAUAACUACUGGAAACGGUAGCUAAUACCGCAUAACGUCGCAAGACCAAAGAGGGGGACCUUCGGGCCUCUUGCCAUCGGAUGUGCCCAGAUGGGAUUAGCUAGUAGGUGGGGUAACGGCUCACCUAGGCGACGAUCCCUAGCUGGUCUGAGAGGAUGACCAGCCACACUGGAACUGAGACACGGUCCAGACUCCUACGGGAGGCAGCAGUGGGGAAUAUUGCACAAUGGGCGCAAGCCUGAUGCAGCCAUGCCGCGUGUAUGAAGAAGGCCUUCGGGUUGUAAAGUACUUUCAGCGGGGAGGAAGGGAGUAAAGUUAAUACCUUUGCUCAUUGACGUUACCCGCAGAAGAAGCACCGGCUAACUCCGUGCCAGCAGCCGCGGUAAUACGGAGGGUGCAAGCGUUAAUCGGAAUUACUGGGCGUAAAGCGCACGCAGGCGGUUUGUUAAGUCAGAUGUGAAAUCCCCGGGCUCAACCUGGGAACUGCAUCUGAUACUGGCAAGCUUGAGUCUCGUAGAGGGGGGUAGAAUUCCAUGUG
RNAcentral lists this ribosomal RNA (617 nucleotides) under Escherichia coli. RNAcentral describes it as "bacterial SSU rRNA". It matches the Rfam family "Bacterial small subunit ribosomal RNA", at positions 68 to 675 of the family's 1533-position model. The record is from RNAcentral. Lineage: Bacteria; Pseudomonadati; Pseudomonadota; Gammaproteobacteria; Enterobacterales; Enterobacteriaceae.